UACGUAGGGUGCGAGCGUUGUCCGGAAUUAUUGGGCGUAAAGAGCUCGUAGGCGGUCUGUCGCGUCGAUCGUGAAAACUUGGGGCUUAACCCUGAGCUUGCGGUCGAUACGGGCAUGACUGGAGUUCGGCAGGGGAGACUGGAAUUCCUGGUGUAGCGGUGAAAUGCGCAGAUAUCGGGAAGAACACCCGUGGCGAAGGCGGUUCUCUGGGACGGUACUGACGCUGAGACGCGAAAGCGUGGGGAGCGAACAGG
Molecule: ribosomal RNA, 254 nt
Filed under: uncultured bacterium
Lineage: Bacteria
Description: partial 16S ribosomal RNA
Rfam family: Bacterial small subunit ribosomal RNA
Source: RNAcentral